UGGCUCAGAGGUUAAAGUGUCUGCCUGCAAUGCAGGAGACCUGGGUUCAAUCCCUG
RNAcentral lists this transfer RNA (56 nucleotides) under Bos taurus (domestic cattle). RNAcentral also lists the same sequence under 1 other name. Lineage: Eukaryota; Metazoa; Chordata; Mammalia; Artiodactyla; Bovidae. The record is from Rfam by way of RNAcentral.